This 518-nucleotide unclassified non-coding RNA is filed under the name uncultured Glomeromycotina. RNAcentral describes it as "SSU rRNA". It matches the Rfam family "Eukaryotic small subunit ribosomal RNA", at positions 571 to 1092 of the family's 1831-position model. The record is from RNAcentral. Lineage: Eukaryota; Fungi; Glomeromycota.
CAGCCGCGUAAUUCCAGCUCCAAUAGCGUAUAUUAAAGUUGCUGCAGUUAAAAAGCUCGUAGUUGAAUUUCGGGACCAUCAUGUCGGUCGUGCCUCGGUACGUACUGGCAUUGUUGGUUUCUCCCUUCUGACGAACCAUGAUGUCAUUUAUUUGGUGUUGUGGGGAAUCAGGACUGUUACUUUGAAAAAAUUAGAGUGUUUAAAGCAGGCUCACGCUUGAAUACAUUAGCAUGGAAUAAUGAAAUAGGACGUUUGAUUCUAUUUUGUUGGUUUCUAGGAUCGACGUAAUGAUUAAUAGGGAUAGUUGGGGGCAUUAGUAUUCAAUUGUCAGAGGUGAAAUUCUUGGAUUUAUUGAAGACUAACUACUGCGAAAGCAUUUGCCAAGGAUGUUUUCAUUAAUCAAGAACGAAAGUUAGGGGAUCGAAGACGAUCAGAUACCGUCGUAGUCUUAACCAUAAACUAUGCCGACUAGGGAUCGGAUGAUGUUAAUUUUUUAAUGACUCAUUCGGCGCCUUACG